CAGGGAGACAACAAAAUGUUUAAUAUUAUUAUUUUGUCACCUUAGGUCGAUCGGUAUCUCACGUUCUUAAUCUUUUAAGAAUUUCAUUUUCUAAGUUUUUCUAGGUCACACCCAUUAUUUUCCCUGGGCCAUUAGCUCAGGUGGUUAGAGCGCACCCCUGAUAAGGGUGAGGUCCCUGGUUCAAGUCCAGGAUGGCCCAUAUCUCUAUGUUGGGGGUAUAGCUCAGUUGGUAGAGCGCCUGCUUUGCAAGCAGGAUGUCAGCGGUUCGAGUCCGCUUACCUCCACUGAUUACCACCUCUGCCAUAUUUUUUAAUACAGGGAACGUAUAGAGAUGUGGUCAAAUUCUGAACGAAUCUAGCUUCCUAAUGAAAUCAUUAAGAUGCUGGACUCAUUGAAUAAUUUUCAUUGUUUUCAGAGAACCUUGACAACUGCAUAGAUUAUUUUUUUAGACAAUAAGCAUCUUUAAUGAUGCAGAUUUAUUAUUUGUGCGAAUGCAUUAAUAACAAUUCUAUUAAGCUGAUGCUUCAAUUUUGAAGUUAUU
RNAcentral lists this transfer RNA (541 nucleotides) under uncultured cyanobacterium. RNAcentral's name for it is "partial contains 16S ribosomal RNA, 16S-23S ribosomal RNA intergenic spacer, and 23S ribosomal RNA". The stretch from base 212 to 284 matches the Rfam family "tRNA". The record is from RNAcentral. Lineage: Bacteria; Bacillati; Cyanobacteriota.